RNAcentral lists this ribosomal RNA (439 nucleotides) under uncultured bacterium. RNAcentral's name for it is "partial 16S ribosomal RNA". It matches the Rfam family "Bacterial small subunit ribosomal RNA", at positions 339 to 795 of the family's 1533-position model. The record is from RNAcentral.
CUACGGGUCGCAGCAGUGAGGAAUAUUGCACAAUGGGGGGAACCCUGAUGCAGCAACGCCGCGUGGAGGAUGACGCAUUUCGGUGUGUAAACUCCUUUUAUAUGUCAAGAAAAUGACGGUAGCAUAUGAAUAAGCACCGGCUAACUCCGUGCCAGCAGCCGCGGUAAUACGGAGGGUGCAAGCGUUACUCGGAAUCACUGGGCGUAAAGGACGCGUAGGCGGGUUGGAAAGUCAGGUGUGAAAUCCUACAGCUUAACUGCAGAACUGCACUUGAAACUUCUAAUCUAGAGUAUGGGAGGGGGUGAUGGAAUUAGUGGUGUAGGGGUAAAAUCCGUAGAUAUCACUAGGAAUACCUAAAGCGAAGGCGAUCUCCUGGAACAUUACUGACGCUAAGGCGUGAAAGCGUGGGGAGCAAACAGGAUUAGAUACCCGCGUAGUC